UCGGAAACUGGGAAACUUGAGUGCAGAAGAGGACAGUGGAACUCCAUGUGUAGCGGUGAAAUGCGUAGAUAUAUGGAAGAACACCAGUGGCGAAGGCGGCUGUCUGGUCUGUAACUGACGCUGAGGCUCGAAAGCAUGGGUAGCGAACAGGAUUAGAUACCCUGGUAGUCCAUGCCGUAAACGAUGAAUGCUAGGUGUUGGAGGGUUUCCGCCCCUUCAGUGCUGCAGCUAACGCAUUAAGCAUUCCGCCUGGGGAGUACGACCGCAAGGUUGAAACUCAAAGGAAUUGACGGGGGCCCGCACAAGCGG
RNAcentral lists this ribosomal RNA (309 nucleotides) under uncultured bacterium. RNAcentral describes it as "bacterial SSU rRNA". It matches the Rfam family "Bacterial small subunit ribosomal RNA", at positions 626 to 932 of the family's 1533-position model. The record is from RNAcentral.